GACGAACGCUGUCGGCGUGCUUAACACAUGCAAGUCGAACGGAAAGGCCCUGCUUUUGUGGGGUGCUCGAGUGGCGAACGGGUGAGUAACACGUGAGUAACCUGCCCUUGACUUUGGGAUAACUUCAGGAAACUGGGGCUAAUACCGGAUAGGAGCUCCUGCUGCAUGGUGGGGGUUGGAAAGUUUCGGCGGUUGGGGAUGGACUCGCGGCUUAUCAGGUUGUUGGUGGGGUAGUGGCUUACCAAGUCUUUGACGGGUAGCCGGCAUGAGAGGGUGACCGGCCACAUUGGGACUGAGGUAAGGCCCAGACUCCUACGGGAGGCAGCAGUGGGGAAUAUUGCACAAUGGGCGGGAGCCUGAUGCAGCAACGCCGCGUGCGGGAUAACGGCCUUCGGGUUGUAAACCGCUUUCGCCUGUGACGAAGCGUGAGUGACGGUAAUGGGUAAAGAAGCACCGGCUAACUACGUG
RNAcentral lists this ribosomal RNA (468 nucleotides) under uncultured bacterium. RNAcentral's name for it is "partial 16S ribosomal RNA". It matches the Rfam family "Bacterial small subunit ribosomal RNA", at positions 28 to 507 of the family's 1533-position model. The record is from RNAcentral.